This 501-nucleotide unclassified non-coding RNA is filed under the name Borreliella burgdorferi (Lyme disease spirochete). Its description in RNAcentral is "partial 16S-23S ribosomal RNA intergenic spacer". The stretch from base 11 to 84 matches the Rfam family "tRNA". The record is from RNAcentral. Lineage: Bacteria; Pseudomonadati; Spirochaetota; Spirochaetia; Spirochaetales; Borreliaceae.
AGGUCAUUUUGGGGGUUUAGCUCAGUUGGCUAGAGCAUCGGCUUUGCAAGCCGAGGGUCAAGGGUUCGAGUCCCUUAACCUCCAUUGGGCUUAUGCCCUAAAUUGUAAUUAAGUAUGUUUUUAAGUAACUUUGUUAAAGUAAUUGUUGGAAUGUGAAACGCAAGAAGUUAAAAUUUCUGGGUUAAGUUGAGAUCUGUUGAUAUUAAGAAAAAUGUCUAGAAGCAAAAGCAAGCUUUCGAUAAAACCCGAAGUUGUUUCGCUAAAGUGCAAGGAUUAAACAGGAUUGUAUUUUUCAGCAGCCUAUUUUAUAAACGAUCUGCAUUUAGUAAAUAGUUUUUAGUUAGGAAAUAAUGUAGAUUACUAAGUGUGAUGUCUGAGAGAAGGACAAGUAUUGUAGCGAGCUUAAAUCCUUAUUAUCGUUGCCAGUAUUUAGUGGUAGGGAUUCGGAUAAGAUUGCCAGUUAUAAGUUGGAGGAAGGCAAAGAUUGCAUUAAAUCGUUAU